CCUACGGGAGGCAGCAGUAGGGAAUAUUGCACAAUGGGGGAAACCCUGAUGCAGCAACGCCGCGUGGAUGAUGAAGGUCUUCGGAUUGUAAAGUCCUGUUGUCAGGGAAGAAAAUGACGGUAACUAACGAAUAAGCACCGGCUAACUACGUGCCAGAAGCCGCGGUAAUACGGAGGGUGCAAGCGUUAACCGGAAUAACUGGGCGUAAAGUGCGCGUAGGCGGGAUGGCAAGUCUGGUGUGAAAGCCUGUGGCUUAACCAUGGGACUGCUUUGGAAACUGUUAUGCUAGAGUGUUGGAGAGGUAGGCGGAAUUCGUGGUGUAGCGGUAAAAUCCGUAGAGAUCAGGAGGAAUACUCAUGGCGAAGGCGACUUACUAGAACAUAACUGACGCUGAGGCUCGAAAGCGUGGGGAGCAAACAGGAUUAGAUACCCCUGUAGUC
Molecule: ribosomal RNA, 440 nt
Filed under: uncultured bacterium
Lineage: Bacteria
Description: partial 16S ribosomal RNA
Rfam family: Bacterial small subunit ribosomal RNA
Source: RNAcentral